GUACACUCCUGCGGGAGGCAGCAGUGGGGAAUUUUGGACAAUGGGCGAAAGCCUGAUCCAGCAAUGCCGCGUGAGUGAAGAAGGCCUUCGGGUUGUAAAGCUCUUUUGUCAGGGAAGAAACGGUGAAAGCUAAUAUCUUUUGCUAAUGACGGUACCUGAAGAAUAAGCACCGGCUAACUACGUGCCAGCAGCCGCGGUAAUACGUAGGGUGCAAGCGUUAAUCGGAAUUACUGGGCGUAAAGCGUGCGCAGGCGGUUUUGUAAGUCUGAUGUGAAAUCCCCGGGCUCAACCUGGGAAUUGCAUUGGAGACUGCAAGGCUAGAAUCUGGCAGAGGGGGGUAGAAUUCCACGUGUAGCAGUGAAAUGCGUAGAUAUGUGGAGGAACACCGAUGGCGAAGGCAGCCCCCUGGGUCAAGAUUGACGCUCAUGCACGAAAGCGUGGGGAGCAAACAGGAUUAGAAACCCUUGUAGUCCCAUGA
RNAcentral lists this ribosomal RNA (478 nucleotides) under uncultured organism. RNAcentral's name for it is "partial 16S ribosomal RNA". It matches the Rfam family "Bacterial small subunit ribosomal RNA", at positions 331 to 800 of the family's 1533-position model. The record is from RNAcentral.